Cyprinus carpio carpio is the source of this 616-nucleotide long non-coding RNA. The record is from Ensembl. NCBI's taxonomy places the organism in Eukaryota, Metazoa, Chordata, Actinopteri, Cypriniformes, Cyprinidae.
CAUGGGCUUCUGGAGAAACAAUACACCAGUGGAGCAGUACUCUUACAACCUGAGGACAUUUUAAUUUCUUAUAUUGGGCCAUGUCCUGAGCACAACCAUCACACCAGGCAAGGGCUUUUCAGUUGGUCCCAAACUGGGGUUCAGCGCAACACCUCACUUUCCUGUGUGGGAAACCCUAAAAAGUUAGCCUAUAGGCAAUGUCUUCUGGAUGCAAACGUUGGAGCUCUUUGGAAAUCUCCAGACCUGCGGCAAUGCCAGGUUGUGGUCAACAGUGUGUCAGACCUGGAGGACAUUACAGUCACUUAUGACAAUGCAGAAGAUAUUCUGAUCAUGAUUGAGGACUUGAUACAUGAGAACAAAAAUCUGGAUGAGUACGAGCUCUCAACGGUACUCAAUAAACUAGCUGAUGUGAUUAACGUUAGUGUGAUCACGCCUCCGCUGGGAGAGGUCAUCAUCAACAUCACAUCUGACAUCCUGGAGUCUGACAGCAACCUGCUGCCUUUCACCAACAGCAUUCUGAACAUCACAGAGUCUGUCGGAGACCAGAUGUUAGGGUUCAGUGGAGAGUCAUUCAGCUUAACAGCUCCUGCCUUAGCAAUAUCAGUGGUCAAUAUUG